Maylandia zebra (zebra mbuna) is the source of this 142-nucleotide non-coding RNA. The record is from RefSeq and is a predicted model, not a curated record. Lineage: Eukaryota; Metazoa; Chordata; Actinopteri; Cichliformes; Cichlidae.
AGACCCAGCCUCGAACAAAGUUAAAGCCUGAAAAGGCGAAGAACUCGGACCGCGGUGGUCUUUGGGCUUUGGAUCCCUGGCCGGGGUUGUCUUCAGCCGGUAGUUUGCCUAGAGGAAGAACAAAUAAAUUUUGUGUAACCCA